Molecule: long non-coding RNA, 1172 nt
Filed under: Mytilus galloprovincialis (Mediterranean mussel)
Lineage: Eukaryota; Metazoa; Mollusca; Bivalvia; Mytilida; Mytilidae
Source: RNAcentral
GGGACAUGACCUUGACCUUUGACCUUUUGACCUUUGUCAAGGUCAUUAGUCCCCAAUGUCAUUGCUGAAGACCCCAUGGGUCUAGGACCUUUGGUUAUAUAGUAAAAGCUGAUUUUGCUUUCCAGAAACCUAAAACAGGGGUUAUGCCCCUUAAAAAAAGGUCAAAUCUCUUCGGUCAAAAUGUAACAAAGUUGCGCCUUAAUGACCCAAACAUUUUCCACUAUUUAAAACUUCUGUAAGUAUAAUGGUUUCUGAGAUUAUCCCAUAACAAGGUGUUAGGUCAAAGGUCAAGGUCAACAUACAAAUUUGACCUUGAGGUAUUUUUUCAAAGAUACAUGAAUUGAUGAUGAAUUGGUGAAGAUCCUAGGUGUCUACGACUUACGGUUUCUGAGUUUUGGUGGCCAACCGACACCGGUUAAUUUUCAUAGGGGCAUAACCCUACCAAUGAGUCGUUGAAUCUUUUCGAUCCAUCAAAUGUAACGAAGAACCGGGGUCUGGUCCUGAACAAAUUUCACCCUUUGUUUUUUUUCUACCUAUUACGGUUACGGUGUUGGAACGAUAACAAGGUUUUUGGGUUUCGGAGGGAUUACUCCGAACCGACAAAAUAUUUCGACUCACAGGGUGAGUUCCGGAUAGGUAUUCAUGACACCGAUACAAAGUGUGAACAUGAAAGCGACACGUCUUACGGUUACGGAGGCUAAAUUCGUCAAAGUUUGGCGGAACAAAAAGAAUAAUAAUUAAACUGUCAAUUGUUCUUGAACAAUUGAGAGGUCUUUCCUUUUGUAAUGUAAAAUACAUGUUCAAAUAGACGUAGAAUGUAUUGAAAAGCUUUAAAAACACACUGAAAAACCUUUAAAUAAGGUUAAAAACACCAUAAUUCGCUAUAUGGGACAUGACCUUGACCUUUGACCUUUUGACCUUUGUCAAGGUCAUUAGUCCCCAAUGUCAUUGCCGAAGACCCCAUGGGUCUAGGACCUUUGGUUAUAUAGUAAAAGAUGAUUUUGUCUUUUCAGAAACCUAAAACAGGCUUUAUGCCCCUUAAAAAAAGGUCAAAUCUCUUCGGUCAAAAUGUAACAAAGUUGCGCCGUAAUGACCCAAACAUUUUCCACUAUUUAAAACUUCUGUAAGUAUAAUGGUUUCUGAGUUGUUCUGAUAACAAGGUGUUAGGUCAA